Saccostrea cuccullata (small rock oyster) is the source of this 339-nucleotide long non-coding RNA. RefSeq lists it as uncharacterized. Lineage: Eukaryota; Metazoa; Mollusca; Bivalvia; Ostreida; Ostreidae. The record is from RefSeq and is a predicted model, not a curated record. The transcript is spliced from 3 exons.
ACAAAAGCAGCAAAAAGAAACGGAGAAAAAGCUUAUAAAGGAAAUUUCAGGGGAGGAGGAAAAAGAAUGCAACACAAAUCACAAAAGAAUAACUACCAUAGACUACAAUGAAGUUCUAGACUUUGGAGAGAACCCUGUCACAGAUGUGGAUACAAAACUUCAGAUAUUAAAAUUCAGUUACAAGUGGUCAGACGCAGUUGAAGAGGAGGAAAGACCUAUGGAGGUACAGAUAUAAAUUACUUAAAUAUAUAUAUAUAUACAGCCAAACUUCAGUAUCUCCAACUCAAAGGGACCGAGAAAAAACUCUGAGACAUUUGAGGAUUCGACAUUUUGAGGGUU